Molecule: ribosomal RNA, 486 nt
Filed under: uncultured bacterium
Lineage: Bacteria
Description: partial 16S ribosomal RNA
Rfam family: Bacterial small subunit ribosomal RNA
Source: RNAcentral
AUUGAACGCUGGCGGCAUGCCUUACACAUGCGAGUCGAACGGCAGCACGGGUGCUUGCACCUGGUGGCGAGUGGCGAACGGGUGAGUAAUACAUCGGAACAUGUCCUGUAGUGGGGGAUAGCCCGGCGAAAGCCGGAUUAAUACCGCAUACGAUCUACGGAUGAAAGCGGGGGCCCUUCGGGCCUCGCGCUAUAGGGUUGGCCGAUGGCUGAUUAGCUAGUUGGUGGGGUAAAGGCCUACCAAGGCGACGAUCAGUAGCUGGUCUGAGAGGACGACCAGCCACACUGGGACUGAGACACGGCCCAGACUCCUACGGGAGGCAGCAGUGGGGAAUUUUGGACAAUGGGCGAAAGCCUGAUCCAGCAAUGCCGCGUGUGUGAAGAAGGCCUUCGGGUUGUAAAGCACUUUUGUCCGGAAAGAAAUCCUUGGCCCUAAUACGGUCGGGGGAUGACGGUACCGGAAGAAUAAGCACCGGCUAACUACGCG